Molecule: long non-coding RNA, 9694 nt
Filed under: Olea europaea (common olive)
Lineage: Eukaryota; Viridiplantae; Streptophyta; Magnoliopsida; Lamiales; Oleaceae
Description: long non-coding RNA (OEUR_LNC011034)
Source: RNAcentral
CAGGCCAUAAAACACGCCUUUGCAAUAUUGAUUCAUGAUUCAAGUCUUUCCCCUUCACUAACCCCCAAUUUCAUUUCAUUUCCUCUCCUACAAUCUCCUUCCAAUAUGAGAUUGAAACCCUUAAUCCCCCAAAUCGAAACCAAGCCAACAAUUGAAAUAGAAAUCCCUAAAUCCCCUGAGCCCAAAAUCAAGAAUUUCGCUCAACCAAUGUCCGUUCGGGCUUUAUUGAUUGUUGAAAGAGACCAAUCGAAAGUGAAGAAGCCAUAGCCAUUUCACUUCAGUAGUUUGAGCAAAUAAACGGACAACAGGUAACUCCCUAACUUGUUUUUGUGUUUUCUUGGGUGCGAUGAAUUUAGAUAUGUGAUGAAAAUUACAUAGAUAAACUUGUUUUGUGCUGAAGCCACACCCAUUUCAUUUUUGUACUUGAUGCAAACCCCGUAGCCACUUAGACUACAAAACCCACAACUAGAUUGAUGUGGAACCCAAGAACGCCAAUUGAUAACUAGUUUGAAUUUGAACCCAACAAGAUGAAACAAAGAAUCCAAAGAUAACGGUGAUGCAAUGGACCCCUUGCUUACAAAUUGAAGAACCCACGAUCCGGUGUUGAACGCCACAAGGAGUUAUCCUUGAUAAGUUCUAAAUUAUUAUUCAAAGAAGAACAAAUUGGAAGAAAGCAAAAGUCUCUCUUGUAUUCAAUGAUAAUUGCCAAAAAAAAAAAAAAAAUACAUUUACAAUGUAAUGGAGAGAGUAUUUAUACUAAAGCUAAAAACCUAGCUAAAAUCGUGCAAAAUCUUCAAAGUAUGGAAAAAAGUCUAACUGACAUCAAAUUCUAACAAAAUAAGGAAAUUCGCGGAAAAAGGAAAAUUCUGCCUAAUUUUUUUGUACUAUGCGGUCACAUGAAAGAAACUGUCACCCCUGGAGAAAACCCUACAUGGGUCUGUGCGGCCGCAUGGUUGUUACUCUGGCUUCUGUCUUCGUCCGCUUGUAUUGAGUUGAUCCACUUUGAUUCGACUUUCGACCCGAAUACGAAACUUGUCCCAUUUUGAGUUUCGAACAUCGUUCCAUCAAUGGUUUCUUGAACAACCAAUCCAUCGCGUGUUUCACUUGCUUUGCUCUCAAUCGCUUCAUCGAUCCGCCUUCGAUAAUCAACGGGUCUCGACUCGAACUCACCGUCUUCAAGCUUGAUUCUUGGAUCACAACAUCUUCUCCCUCUUCAAAAGGAUUCUUCCUCGAAUCUGCACCUGCAUCGAAAAGGGAAAGAUCAGUAACGUUAAAUGUAGCCGAUACAUUAUAUUCACCUGGUAAGUCCACUUUGUAGGCAUUGUCAUUGAUCUUCUCGGUGACUUGGAAAGGACCAUCUCCUCGCGGUUGCAAUUUGGACUUUCGCUACUCCGGAAAACGUUCUUUCCUGAAAUGCACCCACACCCAAUCUCCGGUUCAAAUGUCACACGCUUCCGCCCUUUCUUUGCCUUUGAUGCGAUGAGAUUGUUCUUCUCUUCAAUUUGCGUACAGACUUUCUCAUGAAGUGCCUUCACCAUCUUAGCUUUUCUCUUACCAUCCAUGUUAUCUCGUUCAUUCACAGGCAAAGGAAAUAAAUCCAAUGGAGUUAGUGGAUUAAAACCAUACACAAUUUCAAAAGCUGAAUAAGAAGUAGUCGAAUGUACAAAACGAUUAUAAGCAAACUCAAUAAAUGGCAAGCAAUCUUCCCAAUUCCUUAAGUUCUUAUUAAUCACUGUUCGAAGCAAUUGAGUCAUGGUCCUAUUUACUACUUGAGUUUGACCAUCCGUUUGUGGCUGACAAGUUGUAGAAAAUAACAAUUCAGUUCCUAACUUAUUUUACAAAACACGCCAGAAAUGACUAAAAAAUUUAACAUCUCGGUCCGACACAAUACUCUUAGGGACUUCAUGCAAACGUAUUAUUUCCCUAAAUAAUAAAUCAGCAAUGUUAGUAGCAUCAUCGAUUUUGUGACAUGGUAUGAAGUGUGCUAUUUUACUAAACCUAUCAACCACUACAAAGAUAGAAUCCCGACCUUUCUUUGUCCUAGGUAACUCCAACAUGAAAUCCAUAGAAAUAUCCACCCAAGGUUCACUAGGUACAGGUAAAGGUGUAUACAAGCCAUGGAGUAAAACUUUUGAUUUAGCUUGUUUACAAGUUAUGCACUUCUCACAAAUCCGUUCUAUGUCACUAUGCAUUUUAGGCCAAUAAAAGUGUUCCCUUAACAUGUCUAAAGUCUUUUGAAUCCCAAAAUGACCCAUUAGACCCCCACUAUGUACUUCCCUUACCAAUAAUUCACGCAUUGAACAAUUUGGAAUGCGUUGCUUAUUCUCCCUAAACAACUAUUUUUCAUGUCUAUAAAAUUUGUCAACAGCCAUUUUAGCACAUGAAUUAUAAAUGUUUGAGAAAUCAAUGUCAUUUUCAUACAUGCUCUUAAUAUGCUCCAAACUAAGUAAUUUCGCACUUAAAGAGCUAAGAAGCACGACCUUCGCGACAACGCAUUUGCAACUACGUUUUCAUUACCUUGCUUAUACCUGAUGACGUAUGUAAACGUCUCUAUGAACUCCAUCCAUCUCUCAUAUCGCUUGUUCAACUUACCUUAACCCCGCAAGUACUUUAAGGAUUCAUGAUCGGUGUGUAUCACGAACUCCUUAGGCCACAAGUAAUGUUGCCAAAUCUCCAAUGCUCGAACAAGGAAAUACAACUCCUUGUCAUACGUUGGGGUAGUUUAGUACAGCUCCACUCAACUUAUCCCUAAAGUAAGCAAUAGGUCUCCUUUUCUGCAUUAACACUGCUCCAAUACCUAUCUCUGAUGCAUCACACUCAAUCUCGAACGUUUUAUCAAAGUUAGGUAAUGCCAAAACAGGUCCUAUACACAAUUUAUCCUUAAUGGUAUUAAAUGCAAGUUCUUGUGUUUCCCCCCAGUGAUAACCUACGCUUUUCUUAAUGAUUUCAAUUAAUGGUGUCGUGAUUGUGCUAAAAUCUCUCACAAACCACCUAUAAAAUCUAGCCAGAUCAUGGAAGCUCCUAACCUCAGUUAUAUUUUUAGGUGUUGGCUAUUCUUUAAUAGCUUUAAUCUUUUCCUCAUCCACUUUUACCCCAUUAGCACUAACAACAAAUUCUAGGAAAACAACUCUAUCUAUACAAAACGUGCACUUUUUUAAAAUCAGCAUAUAAUUGUUCAUUUCUUAACACAACAAGCACGCACUUUAAAUGUUCUAAAUGCUCACCUAGGUUUUUGCUGUAGAUUAAAAUGUCAUCAAAGUAACUACAACAAAUUUUCGUAUGAAAGCUCAUAAAACAUGGUUCAUUAAACACAUAAAUGUGCUCGGUGCAUUUGUGAGACCAAACGGCAUAACCAACCACUCAUAUAACCCAUAUUUAGUUUUAAAUGCUGUUUUCCAUUCAUCACCCUCACGCAUGCGAAUUUGAUGGUACCCUCUCUUAAGAUCAAUUUUACUAAAAAACACAAGCACCAUACAAUUCAUCAAGAAUAUCAUCUAGCCUAGGAAUAUGGUGACGAUACUUUACCGUAAUGUUGUUGAUAGCUCUGUAGUCCACGCACAUUCGCCAAGUCUCAUCCUUUUUUGGCACCAAUAGAACAGACACAGUACACGGGCUCAUACUCUCCCUUACGUAACCUUUGUUUAUCAACUCCUCCACUUGUCUCUGAAGCUCCUUCAUCUCCUCGGGAUUGCUUCGGUAAGCUGGUCGAUUUGGAAUGACAGCCCUGAGUAUAAAGUCGAUUUGGUGCUCGAUCCUCGAACUGGUGGCAAUCCAUUUGGCACCUCCUCCGAAAACACAUCUUUGAAAUCCUGUAAAAAAGACUUAACCAUGCUAGGGAGGAAGGUGUUAGACUUCUCAAGGGACAGGAGAGACUCCUUGUAAACUAACAACAACACUUGUCUCUUAUCACUCAAAGCCUUUUUUAAUUCACUCCCCCUCGCAAAGAAGUUCACUUUUGGAUUUUCUCUCCAUUCAGCUAACUCUUUUUCUCUUCGCUCAACUAACCCUUUUUCUCUCCACUCAACUGACUCUUUUUCUCUCUUCUCAUAUGGCCUUUCUCUCUUCCUUCCUUCUCGGUCAUCUCGCUGUUUUCUCUCUUACUCACAGGCUCACUAUCUUCUCUCCUUUUUGUAGAUUCUCUCGCUCGCCUUUCUUCCUCAUUUCUCAGUUUUAUUUGGUCUUCAUACACCUGAGCCGGUGUUAAUGGCGCAAGAGUAAUGGACCUCCCAUCUUUGACAAAGCUAUAUUGGUUCCUAUACCCAUCAUGUGUAACCUUCCUAUCAAAUUUCCAGGGUCUCCCUAAUAAGAUAUGACCCGCUUGCAUAGGCACGACAUCACAUAUAACCUUGUCACUAUAUCUCCCAAUUGAGAAAUUAAUUAACGCCCAUUUAUUUACCCUAACUUUCCCACUCUCAUUCAACCAAUUUCUAAGUUCUAGGGUGUCUCAAUAAUGCUAAACCUAAUUUAUCAACUAAAGUUGUGCUAGCCACAUUUGUGCAACUCCCACCAUCAAUAAUCAAGCUACAUACCUGAUCGUGGACGUGGCACCGAGUGUGGAAUAUAUUUUCUCGUUGCUGCUCCGAAUCAUCUGUCUUGAUCUGAGUGUUAAGUGCUCGCCUCGAGACCAGCAACUCCCCAAUGGCAAAUUCCAUCUCAUCUUCAUCACCAACAUCCUCCAAUACGGGCAUGUCAUCAUACUCUCCUUUGCUCUUACUUACCACCUCUCCAUUAUCCCGCAACACCAUGAUUCGUUUGUUUGGACACUAAGAUUCAAUGUGUCCCGUCCCCAAACACCUGAAACACUUAAUAUCUCGGCUUUGUGAUGGUUGUGGCUCCGAUUUUUGCGCUGUCCUACUAGCACUUUCUUCUUUCUCCUUCUGCCACUCACUUCUUCCUCUGGAUAUUGCUUCACUCCCCUUAUUAUUAUCAUCCCACUUCGACUUCCAAUUUGGGUUAGAAGACGAAGUAUUAAUCGACUGUCUCACAGUCCCCUUCCUCUUCAGUUGUUUCUCCACUUUCAUGGCUACAUGCAACAUGUCUUCCAGCUCCACGUAAUGCUACAAUUCCACUACAUUAGCAAUUUCCUGAUUUAGACCAUUUAAGAACCGUGUCAUGGUAGCUUCCCGAUCCUCCAUCACAUUGCCCUGAUCAUGAGAAUUUUCAUUUCCUUGUGAUAGUCCUCUACGCUCCUCGACCCUUGAUACAGGCUCUGUAACUUCUGAUGGAUCUCCCUAUAGUAGUGGUUAGGAACGAACCGCUUCUUCAUCAACGCCUUCAAAUCCUCCUAAGUACUAAUUGGUCUUCCCCACACCGUCGUUGUGUUGUAACCACUUGAUCCCACCAGGUUAUUGCUUAAUCAAUGAAUGCUAACACCGCUACUUUUACCUUCUUCUCCUCCGAAUAAUUAUAGCACUCAAAAAUUAAUUCCACAUUCCUUUCCCACUCCAAGUACGCCUCUGAGUCACUCCUCUCCUUAAAUUGAGGAAUGGAUGUUUUGAUAUUGCCCAUAUUUCCAUCCACCUCAUCUCCGUGAUUAUUCCUACCCCGUCAUUCAAGCCUACCACCUCUAUUCCUCAUCCAUCCCAUUACCACUUCUCCAUACUCCUCAUCAUCCCAUUCACUGUCCAAAUCAAAUGUUUCACGUUCCAUCUUAUAAUCCCGCUUCCCCGGCCUCCUACCAUUAGAUAUCUCCGCCCGCGACUCCCUACUAAGAUCAGCCACUGAUGUAUCCAUCCUCGUCAUCCAAACUUCGUGCUUAGCCCUCCAAGCAUCUUGUUGAUCCAGCUUAUCUCUAACAACCCCAAAAGCAAGUUCAAACCACUGUAUCAUAUCCUACGAUAUAUUGUUGUGAUAGUCGUGUCGGCUUGAGUUGGAACCUUCUUGUUCAGACAUUCUCUCAAUUUCUGCCUCACCAAAUUUCACUCGAAAUCACACAAUUGGCUUUUACCUUCUAAUGAGCUCACCACUCUACCUUUUACUACUCAAUGCUUUCACUAAGAGCUUUUAAGAAUAAUAACGAACUCACCGGAUUAAAACUUGGGGAUUCAACCCGAAACGUAAGUCAAGAGGAUAAUUUUCAAGGGAUUUGAAAACAAAUAGAAUGAAAUUUGAAUGGACUCACUAAAUUUCAACGGAUCAAUUGCCAAAAUUGAAGAAUUGAAGAAAAAAGAACUUUGGACUUUAGGAAUUUGAAUGUGAACUUGUUGGUAGCAAUCAAGCAAUUAAUAAUUUUUUUUUUUACGUGAACAAUAACUUUUUUUUUUAAUAUCCGGAUGAACAAUAACUUUUUUUUAAUACAAGAGAUUAUACUACCAACAAAAAAUACGGAUUGAAGGAAUGAAUUGAAGAAUGACUCAAGAACAAGGAAGAAACUUGGAAAUCAAGAAAACUACAACACAAACAAGAAAAUUAAAGAUAGAACCUGAUUAAAUUGGGACCAAAGCUCUGAUGCCAACUGAUGGGAACUCCAUAGCAACUUAGACUAUGAAACCCACAAAUAGAUUGAUGCGGAACCUAAGAACGCCAAUUGAUAACCAGUUUGGAUUUGAAUCCAACAAGAUGAAACAAAGAACCCAAAGAUAACAGUGAUGCAAUGGACCCCUUGCUGACAAAUUGAAGAACUUACGAUCCGGUAUUGAACGCCACAAGGAGUUAUCCUUGGUAAGUUCUAAAUUAUUGUUCAAAGAAGAACAAAUUGGAAGAAAGCAAAAGCCUCUCUUGAAUUCAAUGAUAAUUGUCCAAAAAAAGUCCUUUACAAUGUAAUGGAGAGAGUAUUUAUACUAAAGCUAAAAACCUAGCUAAAAUCGUGCAAAAUCGUCAAAUUAUGGAAAGAAGUCUAAUUGAUAUCAAAUUCUAACAAAAUAAGGAGAUUCGCGGAAAAAGGAAAAUUCUACUGAAUUUUUUUGUACCAUGCGGCCGAAUGGUGCAUUUCCAUGUGGUCGCAUAGAAGAAACUUUUACCCCUUGAGAAACCCUGCAUGGGUCUAUGCGGCCGCACCACUUUAAAACCAUGCGGCCGCUUGGUUGUUACUUUGGCCUCCGUCUUCGUCCGCUUGUAUUGAGUUGAUCCACUUUGAUUCGGUUUUCGACCCCAACACGAAACUUGUCCCAUUUUGAGUCUCGAACAUCGUCCCAUCAAUGGUUUCUUGAACGAGUAAUCCCAUCACUUGUUUCACUUGCUUUGCUCUCGAUCGCGUCAUCAGUCCGCCUUUAAUAAUCAAUGGGUCUCGACUCGAACUCGCCAUCUUCAAGCUUGAUUCUUGGAUCACAUCAGUACUUGUAUGCUUUUAUGAUUAUUUUGUUGUUCAUCAUUCAUAUGUUUAUGUUCUUUUGUUGUUGUUGUUAAUUUUAUUUUAUUUUAUGUUUUUUCGGUUGUCAUUCGAAUGUUUGUACUAUCCUCGUCGAGCUAUGUUUCUUUACCUAAUUACAUACAAAAUGAUCAAAUUGUACAUCCCAUUUGCCAUGUCGUUAUUUUCUUCCAUUUUUAUGGUCUAUAUGAAAGACAUACAUCAAAUGUGGAUUAAUUGCUUUGGUUCACUAUUUAAAUUUUGAUAAGUUGCAUGGAUUGUUGCAUAAUGUAGUUUAAUUGCAUGACAGAUUCUGAGGAAAAUCCGGAUUUCAUAGACCUCGACCAUGACUUUAAGUCUGAACAUGAUGACAUCGAAUAUGAAAGAAAUGUAACCGAAGGGAUUGAAAUUGGAAUGGACAGCUGUGAAGAUAAAGUUCAGGAUGAACGAGAAGAGGACACUGAUAACGAGUUCGAUGAAUUGAAACUACCAUCAACGAAGGAACUACUAUCCCAAUGUUCGUUCGAUAAGGAUGGGAAGUAUCAUUUUCGUGAAUUCUCAUUUUACCUGGACAUUAAAAAUCCUCAAUUUGAGGUAGGGCAAAUAUUUAGUUCCGCAUUAGAGUUCCGAGAGGUGGUGCGCACAAAUGGUGCAGUGAACGGAAACAAUAUUAAGUUUUAGGCAAACGAGGAAAGAAUAGUGCAAAGAAUUUGUAGACUAGGGUGCAAGUGGAGAAUAUGGGGUUAUUUGAUGCAUUCGAGAGGUUACAAGUAAAAUCUCACACUUCGGAGCAUACUUGUAGUUAGGACCAAAUCAAUAGACACUACAAUUACAUAUUUCUCACACGUCGGUAUAUUGAGCAAUUCAGGGCAGACUCACCCGCACUAAAAUACCAAUCUUAUUUUGGCAACAGAAAAGAAGGAUCUCUGACAGAUAUUAGCAUAAAUGUGACAUGGAAAUUGCGGAGAUAUGCCAAAGAAAUUUUGGUAGGGAACUUACAAGAUUAGUUUAGGCGAUUGCAUUCUUAUGCAGCCAAGAUAUUACGUACAAAUGUAGGCUCAACAGUCAUUAUUGCAUCACAAGAGCAGAUAUUUUAGGGCAUUUAUAUGUUCUUUAAUUGUUGUAAGGUAGGUUUUAGGGAUGGUUGUAGGAAGCUAAUAGGAGUUGACAGUUGUCACUUAAGGGGUUGUUUCAGAGAGAUAAUGUUAACUGCUAUUGGUCUUGACGCUAAUGACUGCAUUUAUCCUAUUGCAUACGUGAUUGUUAAGAAAGAAAAUACGGUAGCUUGGAAAUGUUUCUUCACCUAUCUGUUAGAAGAUGUUAGGAUUCAAGGUGGUAAAAGUUGGACUUUGAUGACGGACAGAUAAAAAGGUCUACAGAAUGUGAUUGAUGAGUUGUUCCCUACGGCCGAGCAUAGAUUCUGUGUAUGUCAUGCACAUGAACUUUUUAAAUGCUGGGUUCAAGAGUAAAAUUCUUCAGAAUUACUCAUAACGUGCUACCAAGUCAACCACUAUUGUCGACUACCGACAUUGGAUACAUUGAAUGGCUUAUAGAGAGGAACGCACAAGAAUGGAGUAACUCACAUUUCUCAGUUCACUCGAAGAGUGACAUUUUGCUUAACAAUUUAUGCGAACUGUACAAUAAGACCUUGGGGAGUGAUAGAGAAAAGAUGAUUCUGUCCACGUUAACUUCAAUUCAAUUGACCUUUAUGAAUAUGAUUCGAAAGUGUCGAGACACGAUGAUUAGAUGUACAAGAUGUUUGUGUCCAAAGAUAAAAAAACAUUGCACAAUAUUGCUGAGAAAUCGCGUAAUUGUACAUUGUACCAGUCUAGUGGUCCCAAAUAGCAAGUUGAACGUAACCUUUGGGCAUACGUUGUUGACUUAGAGGAGAGAACAUGUGCAUGUAGAGAAUGAGAGCUUACAGGCAUACCUUAUAUGCAUGCAAUGUCAAUGAUCAGAAAUAUAGAAAUGAUCCAGAAAAAUUCGUUCACAUCUGCUACGAUCGAGACCUAUAUGAGGUGCAGCAGUUGUAUCAUGCAUCCAAUUAACGGUAUGCGCUUAUGGCUACAGUUGGAUAUGGUUGUUAUCACUCCACCAUCUUGAACUUUACUGCGAAAGGGAAAGAGACAAAUAAAUCAAAGAAAAUGAGCAGAUGAAGAGGUGAUAUUACAUUCGCAAGAGAAAAGCUAUCUAAGGAGAAAGGGACGUCUGACAAUGGCGUAUUCAUCAUGCGGACUGCAAGGUCACAAAAAGUAAUACCACUCUAGGCCGGAUGCAUAUGAUUCUAUGAGUAUGAUACUAACUAUCUAUACCUCUUUGUUCGAUGACUGACUCACGAUGUUGAUUUUUUGUUUAUAGGAUUUAUUUGAAGGCAAUUUAGAACCAGUUGGCUCACAUUGUGAUAGAACG